This 468-nucleotide ribosomal RNA is filed under the name uncultured bacterium. Its description in RNAcentral is "partial 16S ribosomal RNA". It matches the Rfam family "Bacterial small subunit ribosomal RNA", at positions 28 to 507 of the family's 1533-position model. The record is from RNAcentral.
GACGAACGCUGGCGGCGUGCUUAACACAUGCAAGUCGAACGGAAAGGCCCUGCUUUUGUGGGGUGCUCGAGUGGCGAACGGGUGAGUAACACGUGAGUAACCUGCCCUUGACUUUGGGAUAACUUCAGGAAACUGGGGCUAAUACCGGAUAGGAGCUCCUGCUGCAUGGUGGGGGUUGGAAAGUUUCGGCGGUUGGGGAUGGACUCGCGGCUUAUCAGCUUGUUGGUGGGGUAGUGGCUUACCAAGGCUUUGACGGGUAGCCGGCCUGAGAGGGUGAACGGCCACAUUGGGACUGAGAUACGGCGCAGACUCCUACGGGAGGCAGCAGUGGGGAAUAUUGCACAAUGGGCGGAAGCCUGAUGCAGAAACGCCGCGUGCGGGAUGACGGCCUUCGGGUUGUAAACCGCUUUCGCAUGUGACGAAGCGUGAGUGACGGUAAUGGGUAAAGAAGCACCGGCUAACUACGUG